Molecule: unclassified non-coding RNA, 201 nt
Filed under: plant metagenome
Description: partial contains small subunit ribosomal RNA, internal transcribed spacer 1, and 5.8S ribosomal RNA
Source: RNAcentral
UCUCCGUCGGUGAACCAGCGGAGGGAUCAUUAUCGAGUUUAUAACUCCCAAACCCUAUGUGAACUUACCACUUGUUGCUUCGGCGCGCGCUUCGGUGCCGCCGAGGACACUUAAACUCUUUGUUUUUAUAAGCAUUUCUGAGUGGCCGAAAGGCAAAAUACAAAUGAAUCAAAACUUUCAACAACGGAUCUCUUGGUUCUG